This 433-nucleotide ribosomal RNA is filed under the name Rhizophagus intraradices. Its description in RNAcentral is "eukaryotic LSU rRNA". It matches the Rfam family "Eukaryotic large subunit ribosomal RNA", at positions 325 to 634 of the family's 3401-position model. The record is from RNAcentral. Lineage: Eukaryota; Fungi; Glomeromycota; Glomeromycetes; Glomerales; Glomeraceae.
GGCGAGAGACCGAUAGCGAACAAGUACCGUGAGGGAAAGAUGAAAAGAACUUUGAAAAGAGAGUUAAACAGUACGUGAAAUUGUUGAAAGGGAAACGAUUGAAGCCAGUCGUACCGGCGGGUAAUCAGCCUUUCGGGUAUGAUUCUGUGGAGCGUGAGGAGUUAAACGCCUUCAUGCCCGCAUAUUCGUGCUCUUGGGUGUACUUGCUCGUGUGGUUGGUUAACAUCAAUUUCGGUUAUCAUAAAAUGGCUGGAGGAAUGUAGCUUCGAUUUCGAUCGAAGUGUUAUAGCCUUUGGCAGAUGUGAUGAUCGGGAUUGAGGAUUGCAACGGAUACCCUUCGGGGCUACUUGUCUGAUCUCUGAUCGUUGCUCUGGUGCCGAAAGCUUGCUUACGGUUAUCAAAGUCGAUGGUCAACAGGUUAGAACGGGUUAAA